CUUGGUCAUUUAGAGGAAGUAAAAGUCGUAACAAGGUUUCCGUAGGUGAACCUGCGGAAGGAUCAUUAUUGAAGUAAACCUGAUGGGUUGUUGCUGGCUCUCUAGGGAGCAUGUGCACACCUUGUCAUCUUUAUAUCUCCACCUGUGCACUUUUUGUAGACCUUUCAGGUCUAUGUUGCUUCAUUUACCCCAAUGUAUGUUAAUAGAAUGUUGUGCCUAUAUAAUAUAUACAACUUUCAGCAACGGAUCUCUUGGCUCUCGCAUCGAUGAAGAACGCAGCGAAAUGCGAUAAGUAAUGUGAAUUGCAGAAUUCAGUGAAUCAUCGAAUCUUUGAACGCACCUUGCGCUCCUUGGUAUUCCGAGGAGCAUGCCUGUUUGAGUGUCAUUAAUAUAUCAACCUUCUCUUUUUUGAGUUGUUUGGAUGUGGGGGUUUGCUGGCAUCUUAAAUGAUUCAGCUCCCCUGAAAUGCAUUAGCAGAACAAACCUGUUCAUUGGCGUGAUAAUUAUCUAUGCUAUUGAAUGUGAGGGCAGUUCAGCUUUCUAACCGUCCUUGGACAAUUCAUCAUUAAUGUGACCUCAAAUCAGGUAGGACUACCCGCUGAACUUAAGCAUAUCAAUAAGCGGAGG
This 627-nucleotide ribosomal RNA is filed under the name uncultured fungus. Its description in RNAcentral is "eukaryotic LSU rRNA". The stretch from base 232 to 385 matches the Rfam family "5.8S ribosomal RNA". Lineage: Eukaryota; Fungi. The record is from RNAcentral.